RNAcentral lists this ribosomal RNA (508 nucleotides) under Heterosigma akashiwo. RNAcentral's name for it is "partial Bacterial large subunit ribosomal RNA". It matches the Rfam family "Bacterial large subunit ribosomal RNA", at positions 1 to 647 of the family's 2925-position model. The record is from RNAcentral. Lineage: Eukaryota; Raphidophyceae; Chattonellales; Chattonellaceae.
UAAAAAAAGCAUUAAACGGAUACCUUGACAAAAGAUUCUAUUGGAUGUUGUACAACAAAAAUUUUAGCUGAGCUGUAAUGCUGGGACGCUGAAAUGUCCAAUAAAAGAAAUUUUUCUCUUGGAAGUUUUCAGAAAAGUGAAUUGAAACAUCUUAGUAACUUUUUAAGAAAUCAAACGAGAUACUGAAAGUAGUGGCGAACGAACUCAGUACAGGCAAAAAACAUAGAUAAAACACCAAUUGAACCUCGAGACCAGAGAAGGUUUAAGUCCUGUAGAUCGGCAAAAACUGUGUUUUUAAGUAAAAGAGGUUGUACUCUUUGAACAAUGGGGGACCACCCUCAAAGCCUAAAUUUUGGUCUUUUGAUCGAUAGUGAACGAGUACUGUGAAGGAAAGGACAUACAUCCUAGGAUGUUUUGAAAUUUAAUGCUAGCAAUCGGUUGGAGCUUUAUAAAGUGACAGCGUACCUUUUGCAUAAUGGGUCAGCGAGUUUUUAAAAAAGGCAAGCUU